UUAUUUUCUAGAUUUUAAAACUUAUUAUAAAGUGCCAUAUGUUCUUAAUUAAUCCUUGUCAAUUCCACGGACAAGCUUUAGACCCAUUUUUUCUUUAAGGGUGGAAAGAGGUCACAGAGAAGGGGUUACCAGGUUGGCCAGUUGUCAUACUUUGUUUACAAGGGUUGCUCAUUUGCUUACCAGAUCUGGCUUUGUGCAGUGACCUGGGAUUGGAUGUUAAGAACUU
RNAcentral lists this unclassified non-coding RNA (226 nucleotides) under Hevea brasiliensis (rubber tree). The record is from RNAcentral. Lineage: Eukaryota; Viridiplantae; Streptophyta; Magnoliopsida; Malpighiales; Euphorbiaceae.